This 487-nucleotide ribosomal RNA is filed under the name uncultured soil bacterium. RNAcentral's name for it is "bacterial SSU rRNA". It matches the Rfam family "Bacterial small subunit ribosomal RNA", at positions 26 to 497 of the family's 1533-position model. The record is from RNAcentral.
AGAUUGAACGCUGGCGGCAGGCCUAACACAUGCAAGUCGAGCGGCAGCACGGGUACUUGUACCUGGCGGCGAGCGGCGGACGGGUGAGUAAUGCCUAGGAAUCUGCCUGGUAGUGGGGGAUAACGCUCGGAAACGGACGCUAAUACCGCAUACGUCCUACGGGAGAAAGCAGGGGACCUUCGGGCCUUGCGCUAUCAGAUGAGCCUAGGUCGGAUUAGCUAGUUGGUGAGGUAAUGGCUCACCAAGGCGACGAUCCGUAACUGGUCUGAGAGGAUGAUCAGUCACACUGGAACUGAGACACGGUCCAGACUCCGUACGGGAGGCAGCAGGUGGGAAUAUUGGACAAGUGGGACGAAAGCCUAGAUCCGAGCCAUCGGCCGCGGUGGUGUGGAAAGUAAGGUCUUACGGAUUUAGUAAAGCUAACGUUUUAAGUGGGAGGAAGGCUAAGUUUAACCUAAGUACGUUAUCUUAGUUUAGACGUUACCGA